GACGAACGCUGGCGGCGUGCUUAACACAUGCAAGUCGAACGGAAAGGCCCUGCUUUUGUGGGGUGCUCGAGUGGCGAACGGGUGAGUAACACGUGAGUAACCUGCCCUUGACUUUGGGAUAACUUCAGUAAACUGGGGCUCAUACCGGAUAUGAGCUCCUGCUGCAUGGUGUGGGUUGGAAAGUUUCGGCGGUUGGUGAUGGACGCGCGGCUUAUCAGCUUGUUGGUGGGGUAGUGGCUUACCAAGGCUUUGACGGGUAGCCAGACUGCGAGGGUGACCGGCCACAUUGGGACUGAGAUACGGCCAAGACGGCUACGGGAGGCAGCAGUGGGGAAUAUUGCAAAAUGGGCGGAAGCCUGAUGCAGCAACGCCGCGUGCGGGAUGACGGCCUUCGGGUUGGAAACCGCUUUCGCCUGUGACGAAGCGUGAGUGACGGUAAUGGGUAAAGAAGCACCGGCUAACUACGUG
This 468-nucleotide ribosomal RNA is filed under the name uncultured bacterium. RNAcentral's name for it is "partial 16S ribosomal RNA". It matches the Rfam family "Bacterial small subunit ribosomal RNA", at positions 28 to 507 of the family's 1533-position model. The record is from RNAcentral.